Molecule: ribosomal RNA, 253 nt
Filed under: uncultured prokaryote
Description: partial 16S ribosomal RNA
Rfam family: Bacterial small subunit ribosomal RNA
Source: RNAcentral
UACGGAGGGUGCGAGCGUUGUUCGGAAUUACUGGGCGUAAAGCGCGUGUAGGCGGUUUUUUAAGUCUGAUGUGAAAGCCCUGGGCUCAACCUGGGAAUUGCAUUUGAAACUGGGAGACUUGAAUACGGGAGAGGGGGGUGGAAUUUCAGGUGUAGGAGUGAAAUUCGUAGAGAUCAGGAGGAAUACCGGUGGCGAAGGCGGCUGCCUGGACAGAUAUUGACGCUGAGACGCGAAAGCGUGGGGAGCAAACAGG